AUGCCCUGCUUCCAGGAAAAGCCUCUAAGCAUCAGGUAACAUUAAAUCGUACCCCAAACCGACACAGGUGGUCAGGUAGAGAAUACCAAGGCGCUUGAGAGAACUCGGGUGAAGGAACUAGGCAAAAUGGUGCCGUAACUUCGGGAGAAGGCACGCUGGUGUGUAGGUGAAGUCCCUGCGGAUGGAGCUGAGACCAGUCGAAGAUACCAGCUGGCUGCAACUGUUUAUUAAAAACACAGCACUGUGCAAACACGAAAGUGGACGUAUACGGUGUGACGCCUGCCCGGUGCCGGAAGGUUAAUUGAUGGGGUUAUCCGUAAGGAGAAGCUCUUGAUCGAAGCCCCGGUAAACGGCGGCCGUAACUAUAACGGUCCUAAGGUAGCGAAAUUCCUUGUCGGGUAAGUUCCGACCUGCACGAAUGGCGUAAUGAUGGCCAGGCUGUCUCCACCCGAGACUCAGUGAAAUUGAACUCGCUGUGAAGAUGCAGUGUACCCGCGGCAAGACGGAAAGACCCCGUGAACCUUUACUAUAGCUUGACACUGAACAUUGAGCCUUGAUGUGUAGGAUAGGUGGGAGGCUUUGAAGCGUGGACGCCAGUCUGCGUGGAGCCAACCUUGAAAUACCACCCUUUAAUGUUUGAUGUUCUAACGUUGGCCCCUUACCGGGGUUGCGGACAGUGUCUGGUGGGUAGUUUGACUGGGGCGGUCUCCUCCCAAAGCGUAACGGAGGAGCACGAAGGUUAGCUAAUCCUGGUCGGACAUCAGGAGGUUAGUGCAAUGGCAUAAGCUAGCUUGACUGCGAGCGUGACGGCGCGAGCAGGUGCGAAAGCAGGUCAUAGUGAUCCGGUGGUUCUGAAUGGAAGGGCCAUCGCUCAACGGAUAAAAGGUACUCCGGGGAUAACAGGCUGAUACCGCCCAAGAGUUCAUAUCGACGGCGGUGUUUGGCACCUCGAUGUCGGCUCAUCACAUCCUGGGGCUGAAGUAGGUCCCAAGGGUAUGGCUGUUCGCCAUUUAAAGUGGUACGCGAGCUGGGUUUAGAACGUCGUGAGACAGUUCGGUCCCUAUCUGCCGUGGGCGCUGGAGAAUUGAGGGGGGCUGCUCCUAGUACGAGAGGACCGGAGUGGACGCAUCACUGGUGUUCGGGUUGUCAUGCCAAUGGCACUGCCCGGUAGCUAAAUGCGGAAGAGAUAAGUGCUGAAAGCAUCUAAGCACGAAACUUGCCCCGAGAUGAGUUCUCCCUGAGACUU
This 1246-nucleotide ribosomal RNA is filed under the name Klebsiella pneumoniae. RNAcentral's name for it is "partial 23S ribosomal RNA". It matches the Rfam family "Bacterial large subunit ribosomal RNA", at positions 1597 to 2823 of the family's 2925-position model. Lineage: Bacteria; Pseudomonadati; Pseudomonadota; Gammaproteobacteria; Enterobacterales; Enterobacteriaceae. The record is from RNAcentral. RNAcentral also lists the same sequence under 1 other name.